Molecule: ribosomal RNA, 492 nt
Filed under: uncultured bacterium
Lineage: Bacteria
Description: partial 16S ribosomal RNA
Rfam family: Bacterial small subunit ribosomal RNA
Source: RNAcentral
AGUGAACGCUGGCGGUAGGCCUAACACAUGCAAGUCGAACGGCAGCACAGUAAGAGCUUGCUCUUACGGGUGGCGAGUGGCGGACGGGUGAGGAAUACAUCGGAAUCUACUUUUUCGUGGGGGAUAACGUAGGGAAACUUACGCUAAUACCGCAUACGACCUACGGGUGAAAGCAGGGGAUCUUCGGACCUUGCGCGAUUGAAUGAGCCGAUGUCGGAUUAGCUAGUUGGCGGGGUAAAGGCCCACCAAGGCGACGAUCCGUAGCUGGUCUGAGAGGAUGAUCAGCCACACUGGAACUGAGACACGGUCCAGACUCCUACGGGAGGCAGCAGAGGGGAAUAUUGGACAAAGGGCGCAAGCCUGAUCCAGCCAUACCGCGUGGGUGAAGAAGGCCUUCGGGUUGUAAAGCCCUUUUGUUGGGAAAGAAAAGCAGCAGGUUAAUACCCCGCUGUUCUGACGGUACCCAAAGAAUAAGCACCGGCUAACUUCGUG